GCAGGCCUAAGACAUGCAAGUCGAGCGAGAAAGCCCUUCGGGGUGAGUAGAGCGGCGGACGGGUGAGUAACGCGUAGGAAUCUACCCAGUAGUGGGGGACAACUAGUGGAAACGCUAGCUAAUACCGCAUACGCCCUACGGGGGAAAGCGGGGGACCUUCGGGCCUCGUGCUAUCGGAUGAGCCUGCGUAAGAUUAGCUUGUUGGUGAGGUAAUGGCUCACCAAGGCGACGAUCUUUAGCUGGUCUGAGAGGAUGAUCAGCCACACCGGGACUGAGACACGGCCCGGACUCCUACGGGAGGCAGCAGUCGGGAAUAUUGCGCAAUGGGCGAAAGCCUGACGCAGCCAUGCCGCGUGUGUGAAGAAGGCCCUAGGGUUGUAAAGCACUUUCAAUUGGGAGGAAAAGCUAAUGGUUAAUAACCAAUAGCCCUGACGUUACCUUUAGAAGAAGCACCGGCUAACUCCGUGCCAGCAGCCGCGGUAAUACGGAGGGUGCAAGCGUUAAUCGGAAUUACUGGGCGUAAAGCGCGCGUAGGCGGUUUUUUAAGUCGAAUGUGAAAGCCCCGGGCUCAACCUGGGAACUGCAUCCGAUACUGGAAGACUAGAAUGCGGGAGAGGGAGGUAGAAUUCCAUGUGUAGCAGUGAAAUGCGUAGAUAUAUGGAGGAAUACCAGUGGCGAAGGCGGCCUCCUGGCUCGACAUUGACGCUGAGGUGCGAAAGCGUGGGGAGCAAACGGGAUUAGAUACCCCGGUAGUCCACGCCGUAAACGAUGUCUACUAGCUGUAGGGGUACUUGAGACCUUUGUAGCGCAGCUAACGCAAUAAGUAGACCGCCUGGGGAGUACGGCCGCAAGGUUAAACCUCAAAAUGAAUGACGG
RNAcentral lists this ribosomal RNA (876 nucleotides) under gamma proteobacterium SCGC AAA300-F14. RNAcentral's name for it is "SSU rRNA". It matches the Rfam family "Bacterial small subunit ribosomal RNA", at positions 42 to 916 of the family's 1533-position model. The record is from RNAcentral. Lineage: Bacteria; Pseudomonadati; Pseudomonadota; Gammaproteobacteria.